UGUAUUGAAGAAUCACUCUAGCUCUUCUAGUAAUAAUCUCAGUAGAACUGACCCUAGUCAGGGAGAAUCACUCAUCAUUGACCAAUGUGUUUGUUUCAGUCAGCUUUUUCGCUGCCAUGACUAAAAGACUUGACCAGAACAAUUGCAGAGAAAAAAAAGUGUAUUUGAGGGCUCAUGGUUUCAGAGGUCCAAGUUCAUAGAUAGCUUGCUUCAUUCCUCCGGGCUGGAGGUAAAGCAGAACAACAUGGUGAAAGAAUGUGGCAGAGGGAAGUGGCUCACGUAUUGAUCAGUAAGCAGAGAAAGACUCCACUUUCAAUAUACAUACCCCAAAGGCAUAUCCCCAAUGACCCACCUCCUCCAGCCACACCCUAUCUUCCUCCACCACCCAGUUAAUCCCAUCAGAUGACUUCACUGAUUGGAUUAAGUCUGUCAGGAUCUGAUCGUUUUUUUUUUUCUCAACCUUUUGUGUUAUCUCUCACAUGAGCUUUUUUUUUAAAAAAAAUAUAUUUAUUUUUUUUAGUUAUACAUGGUCACAAUAUCUUUAUUUUUAUGUGGUGCUGAGGAUGGAACCCAGUGCUUCAUGCAUGCUAGGUGAGAAUUCUACCACUGAGUCACAGACCCAGCCCUCACACAUGAGCUUUUAGAGGACACUUCAUAUCCAAGCCAUAACAGUGUUGAGCUCCAUAGUGAUUGGUUCAAGGAGGGUAUUUGAGCUAAGUAGAUCAAUCAAGAUGAAUGAACAUUAAACUCAUAAUUUUGGCCAGGAUAAUAAGAAAAGAGGGGAAAAACAUUAAAGUUUUAUCUUCCAGGUUAACAUACAAGUCUUUACAUUCUGGGAGCACUGCUGUGGAAAGAAUGUGCUUGAGAGAAACCAAUUCAGAGAAAAGCAAAAGGCAGAGUAAAGUGUAAUUAAGACCUUGGAUUCAACUGUGCCUAAAAUUCUAUUCUUGGACCUUUUCAUUUUCUCUCCAUCACGUAUGUAUCAGUCAAGUUCCAUUAGGCAAAAAAGAAACCAUACUAGGUGAUUUAAUACAGUAUUUAAGAUUGACCCCAGGGCCUGUGCAUGUGAGGCAAGCAUUCUACCAACUGAGCUAUAUCCCUAGCUCUGGAUACAGCUAUCUUUCAGAAGACUUCUUUGCCCUCUACUUCUUCCUUCCUGCCAAAAAAGACUCAACUUUGCCAAAAGAAUUCUGAGAUCAUAAUAUAUAUCAAGGAAUGUGAAGGACAGUGACGUUGUGUGAGAAGAUGUAGAUGAAAGUAAAUAUGACUGUGGCUCUCACAGCCUAUGAGCUCUCAGCCUUGUGGGCAAAGGUAAACUCGUAAUGUCAUGGAAGAAAUGGACAAGUAACCAGAUGAUUAUAAUUCAGUGUGAAAAGUCCUAUUAUGGAAGUGAGUGUGGGGAGUGAUGAUCCUUCUAUACAUUCUAUAGAUGAAGAAUCUGUCUCGAAUGUUAAUGGAUUUGCCCAACAUCAUGGAUAGAAAUCCUGCUAUAAGAGUGGGUUGAGGAAGGGCUGUCAAAGUGACUUGGUGCCAGCCUGUCCAUGGGAGCCUGGACAUAACAAAGAAGGUGGAAUGAAGAUCAGCAUCUUAGUGCCAUGCUAGAUGACAAGAGGAGAGAAAAAUAGUACAGAAACCCCAAGAAGUGUCAUUGGGUUAAAAAGUUACAGACACUAAAGUUCCACUUGGUGUGGGUCACACACUGCUAUCCUGGGAUUCAAAGUACCAGAACUUUGUUUUGAAACCACCAAGAAGUCCAUCUUGAAGGGGAAACUAUUAAAAUCUCUUGUCUCUUAGACAUGAUGAUUCAUCUCCAAGUCAUUUUAUACUUCUGAAAUUGUCAGUGAUAUAAUGGAAGCAAAGUUUUUUUCCCUGAAAAUAAGACAUAAGCUGUUUGUUUCUUGCAAAGGAAGUGAAGAAUGAGGAAACCAUCUGGCAUUUGCUCAAAAUAUCUAGAUAAUUGAGGCCAAAGUAUCUUUUAGCUUAAUUUUAUAUCAAUGAGUGUCCUUCAUGCCUCUUUCCACAUUUGCUGUGUAGAGAGCAUCAAAAGGAAAGAGGCUGAAAUUUAUCAACAAGAAUUUUAAAAUACAAUAGUUAUUAAUAUUGUUGGGUUGCACUCUCCAUUAUCCCUAGAAAUUUUGUUAUUCUUGAAUUUAAUACAUGUGUGCAGGUAUAUAUAUUAAUUGAAGAGAUAUUCUUGAAGAAUCUUUGUAGAUUAAAACUCCUACCUUUAUUGAAAAUUUCACGGCAUUGAUCAGAUAUUUUCUACAGGUGAUGUGAUCUCUCUGUUAUCUCUCAAAAAUUUGCAUUUCAAAGCUGAUUGAUGGACUAUGUGAGAUGAAGUCGAUGUCCUUUUUCUACAACAGAGAUGUAGGUUGGAUCUCUGCUGAAAAAGUAUUAUUUACUGUCAAGGUUAUUUCAUAAAUUUAGUCUUCUAUUUCUAACUUAGUAUUAUAUGUUUUGUACCACCCCUUAAAGCUCUGUUAUUAAAGCUCACGUUUCUGGGAAAAUAUAGUCAUAUUUAAAAGGCAUUUAGUA
This is a long non-coding RNA of Marmota monax (woodchuck), 2535 nucleotides long. RefSeq lists it as uncharacterized. The record is from RefSeq and is a predicted model, not a curated record. NCBI's taxonomy places the organism in Eukaryota, Metazoa, Chordata, Mammalia, Rodentia, Sciuridae. The transcript is spliced from 6 exons.